Molecule: ribosomal RNA, 450 nt
Filed under: uncultured bacterium
Lineage: Bacteria
Description: bacterial SSU rRNA
Rfam family: Bacterial small subunit ribosomal RNA
Source: RNAcentral
AACGAACGCUGGCGGCAUGCCUAAUACAUGCAAGUCGAACGAUCACUUCGGUGAUAGUGGCGCACGGGUGCGUAACGCGUGGGAAAUCUGCCCUUGGGUUCGGAAUAACUUCUGGAAACGGAAGCUAAUACCGGAUGAUGACGUAAGUCCAAAGAUUUAUCGCCCAAGGAUGAGCCCGCGUAGGAUUAGCUAGUUGGUGGGGUAAAGGCUCACCAAGGCGACGAUCCUUAGCUGGUCUGAGAGGAUGAUCAGCCACACUGGGACUGAGACACGGCCCAGACUCCUACGGGAGGCAGCAGUAGGGAAUAUUGGACAAUGGGCGAAAGCCUGAUCCAGCAAUGCCGCGUGAGUGAUGAAGGCCUUAGGGUUGUAAAGCUCUUUUACCCGGGAUGAUAAUGACAGUACCGGGAGAAUAAGCUCCGGCUAACUCCGUGCCAGCAGCCGCGGUAA